AGGAUAAACGCUGGCGGCGUGCCUAACACAUGCAAGUCGAACGUCCUACGCAAGUAGGGAGUGGCGGACGGGUGAGUAACACGUGGGCAAUCUACCUUUCGGUGAGGAAUACCGGCGAGAAAUCGCCGACAAUACCGCAUACGCUUCGCAAGAAGCAAAGUCGCAAGACGCCGGAGGAGGAGCCUGCGCCCGAUUAGCUGGUUGGUGGAGUAAUGGUCUACCAAGGCGACGAUCGGUAGCUGGUCUGAGAGGAUGAUCAGCCACACUGGGAUUGAGAACGGCCCAGACUCCUACGGGGGGCAGCAGUGAGGAAUUUUCGUCAAUGGGGGAAACCCUGAACGAGCAACGCCGCGUGCAGGAAGACACUUUUCGGAGCGUAAAACUGCUUUUCUCGGGGACGAGUAAGGACGGUACCCGAGGAAUCAGCCCGGCUAACACGUAGCCAGCAGCCGC
Molecule: ribosomal RNA, 453 nt
Filed under: uncultured bacterium
Lineage: Bacteria
Description: SSU rRNA
Rfam family: Bacterial small subunit ribosomal RNA
Source: RNAcentral